This 688-nucleotide long non-coding RNA is filed under the name Equus asinus (donkey). RNAcentral's name for it is "lncRNA (ENSEASG00005024672.1)". Lineage: Eukaryota; Metazoa; Chordata; Mammalia; Perissodactyla; Equidae. The record is from RNAcentral.
GCCACUCAAAAGGAUGCCUGAACACCCAAUGACACUAUCAGAGACAUUUCAAACUGCAAAAGAUGCUUCAACACUGACAUCUAGAAAUCUUCUUGACUGACGGUCCCCUGGACUCAGAAACUGGCUUAGCUUUUGGAGCCCACCUGCAUCACCGCUUUUUGAAGUGAAUUUAGCUGAAGUCAUCUAUUAUCAGCACUAAGAGACCUGUUCAGUGACAUGGAAAAUCUACCAACUUAGAUUCUGGACUGUGAACCUUCUUAAAAAUGUCAAAGUUGGGACUGUAGGGGAAGAGGACUGGCCACCCCAAAAUAUUUAAAAAGAGCAAUUCGACUUGGUGUGUCAACUGGUGAUGGAAAUCCCAGGAUGAGGGGAUUAAUCCCUGUGCUCUUGGAUCAAAAUAUGCAGGGUCAAGAGAAAAACGAAAGAGAGCCCAGGAUGUGACUCUUCCCAAUGCUGAGACAUACAGAGUGGAUUACAGCUGAGUGUUUUUGAACAAAGGCUUAAUAAACUUCAACCUCCGUGGUACCAAGUACUGAAGUCACAGUGAAAUACAGCAGUACAAAAACCCUCUUCUUCUUUUUCACCGUUUCUUGGCAUUUUGCCAUCACCAACCUCUGCCAUCGGAAUACCUCUAAAAUCUUUCACCAAUGCUGUUAUUGUGGUUAAAUGCUAUAAAACUCAGAGGCAC